This 275-nucleotide ribosomal RNA is filed under the name uncultured bacterium. Its description in RNAcentral is "partial 16S ribosomal RNA". It matches the Rfam family "Bacterial small subunit ribosomal RNA", at positions 338 to 630 of the family's 1533-position model. The record is from RNAcentral.
CCUACGGGGGGCUGCAGUGGGGAAUAUUGGACAAUGGGCGCAAGCCUGAUCCAGCAAUGCCGCGUGGGUGAAGAAGGCCUUCGGGUCGUAAAGCCCUUUCGGCGGGGACGAUGAUGACGGUACCCGCAGAAGAAGCCCCGGCUAACUUCGUGCCAGCAGCCGCGGUAAUACGAAGGGGGCUAGCGUUGUUCGGAAUGACUGGGCGUAAAGGGCGCGUAGGCGGCGCUGCAAGUCGGGCGUGAAAGCCCUGGGCUCAACCUGGGGACUGCGUCUGA